Molecule: ribosomal RNA, 462 nt
Filed under: uncultured bacterium
Lineage: Bacteria
Description: partial 16S ribosomal RNA
Rfam family: Bacterial small subunit ribosomal RNA
Source: RNAcentral
GAUGAACGCUGGCGGCGUGCCUAAUACAUGCAAGUCGAGCGGUAAGGCCCUUCGGGGCACACGAGCGGCGGACGGCUGAGCAACACGUAGGAACGUACCCCAAACUGAGGGAUAAGCACCAGAAAUGGUGUCUAAUACCGCAUGUGGCCCACGGGCUAAAGCUCCGGCGGUUUGGGAACGGCCUGCGUCCGAUUAGCUAGUUGGUAGAGUAAUAGCCUACCAAGGCGACGAUCGGUAGCUGGUCUGAGAGGAUGAUCAGCCAGACUGGGACUGAGACACGGACCAGACUCCUACGGGAGGCAGCAGUAGGGAAUUUUCCACAAUGGGCGAAAGCCUGAUGGAGCAACGCCGCGUGCAGGAUGAAGGCCUUCGGGUUGUAAACCUCUUUCAGCACCGACGAAGCGCAAGUGACGGUAGGUGCAGAAGAAGGACCGGCCAACUACGUGCCAGCAGCCGCAGUAA